UCUUAUUGAUUAAGUAUACGAAAAUCUUAGAAGAAAUCCCGUCCAAAUAACCACCUUACUGAAUACUUGAAUUAAACUUUGAAGACAAACAUAUCACUCGGUACACAUGCCCAAUUGCAAUCUGCCUUGCAUAGGCAUCCAUAAAUCACAAUAAAAUACGAUCAAGUCUAGUUUAUAAUAAAACGGAGAAAAUAGAGGAUUCGAACAAUCAAACUUAACGAAAUUACUUAUUAAAAACAUUUCCUGGUUCACCUCAGAACCCAACCCCCAAUUCUAGAGCCUCAGAGUCAGAUCAAUCCCGUCGUCAGUCUCUUCCUGAUCCCCUUCACGCACGCCUUGCUGGUGUCCACGGUGACCACCAUCUCCAGUCCUGCGGUAGCCGCCGGCCACACGCGCCGACACAGCAGAUGACGGUUGAGUUGGAGCAAGCCCGGUACCAAUCUGCCAUUGCCACUGCAACGAAGGAGGCACGAAGAAGGGGGCCGAGGGGUAGUAGUGGGCGGCAAACAGGUUCUCAUGGAGGUAAGCUCUGCCCAAGGCGGUGAUGUCCGACGACGAUGCCCAGAUGGGCACUGACGACGACGCGGGAGGACGGUCUAUGCGUGCCUUCUUGUUGACGGGGCCGGGUGGCGCCCACAGGUGCCUGUGCACCGUCUGGUGCCCGCACCGCCCCUGCACGGUCGUGAACAUGCGGGGGCAGUACUCGCACUUGAACCUGGCCUUCUGCACCUUGUUGCUGGAAGACGAUGAUGCCGUGAGAGACGACGUCUGGCUCGUGUACCCUGCCUUGUCAUCCUCGGCACGGGUGGCCGGCGGCAGAGACUUGUCGUUGUCGGCGGGGAAGGUGGACACGGAGGAACCAGUGGACUCCAUUUCUGCAAAUGGUCUAGAUGAGACGUACUACUACUUAUCUUGUUGUGUGCUUCGGCUGCUUGCUUGCAGUACUCGACGGUGGGGGUUUUAUAGUUACGGAGCGGGAUGUGGGAUUGGCUAAGAUUGGAAGAAAACAUGCUGGUGGCGUUAUUUCUAGCAGUGCAAUCAUUCUCAUAAUUCUCUACAAUUACUCGUAUAUUUAUGGCCUUCCAAUUAAAUGUAUUUUCUUUUUCUUUUUUAAUUUUUUUUGGAUUGGUUGAAAUGUAUUUCCCCGUCAUGACGAUAGGAAUUCAAUUUGCAUCCCUUUUGGUUUUGGGCCACUAGAGGCCCAGUUUUGUUUCGUCCAAUUUCCCGCUCCGGCCGACGUGCUAGAACGGUCCAUUAUUCAGUAGCCCAUUGUAACCAAAGCUCAUUUUUAUGUGGGCCAAGUAAGAGCAAUUUCAAUGGGGUGACCCAAACGGACGGCGAUUUCGUCCGCGUUUUAUCCGUUUGAGUCGGACGCCGCCGGCGUUCGCCUGUUUUAGAUAUGGGUCGGCUGGGUGCCCAACGCGCCGACCCAUAUGUGCUGGCGUGGCCGUCUGGCCUCCCUAUUUUUCGCAUGAUUGCAUAGUUUGAAUCAAAUAAUAUAGUUUCAGACCCAAUAAAAUAGUGUAGUUUAUUACAAGCCGCCUGGCCUCCCUAUUCAACGCCCGAAGGUGGCCCGGAAUGGAACCAUGAAACAAUGGCCCUGGCUGUUAAGGUGGUGAUGGACCAACAUGGCAGCCAAUAUCUCCUCCUCAUCAUCGGAGGACGAAUCAUCGGAGUCGCAAAGGAAAUUGUGAAAAAAGAACUAGUCGGCGGAGUCCAUUUUGUACCUUAGCAAACUGUCGAACAACUUGUGGGAGUUGGCGAAGGAGACGGCCGACGAAGGGAGUCGUGGCGCGCACGGACCAGCUAGCUGUCCUGUCGACGUCCGACGAGCGUGCCAGCGUCCGACGAGCGUGCCGGUGAGGAUCUGGCCGGCGGCGAGGCGGCUUCUUGGUCGGGACGGCUGUGCGGUGGUGGUGCGCGGGGGGUGGGAAGCAGUCGGCUCCCCGGCAGCAAGACGGCGGUGGCGGGCGACGUGGGAGUGGGCGGCGUAGCUAGGCGGAUGUGGAGGCGCCGACAGUUGGCAGAGUCGCCGACAAAAAUGGGCGGCGGCGUCGGCGACGAAAGAGGAUCAUGAAGGUUGUUGUUGGAUGGGGGGAGGCCAAUGUGCCACCGAUCAGCGGGCCGGGGAGGAGAGGGCGAGCAUGUGCGCGUCCGUCGCAUGUCCGCGCCGACGCAAAUCCGACUCAAAAAUGGGCCGGGAAUGGGUCGCCCGUGGACGAAUAGAGCAUGCGCGUCUAUUUGGGUUGGCAUGUUGGGACGCCUUUUGUGUCCAUGCCGACCCAAACGAACGGCGGCGGACGAAAUGGGUCGCCCCGUUGGAGUAGCUCUAAAUCCACAACCCAUAUAUAUCAAGCACAUACAAUAAUUUUGGAGAAAUGGUCUAGAAAGUUACUUAAAUUAUUACAUAAUCUCAUAAAUAUAUAAUUAAGUUACAAAAUGUGUUUACACACAAAAUUAUGACAUAAUCUCAUAAAUAUAUAAUUAAGUUACAAAAUGUGUUUACACACAAAAUUAUGUGUUCACCAACAGAAUCACCAUUUCGACCGAGAUUUGAGAAGGGGGUUUACCCUAGGCAUUUGCAUAGCAGAAGCCAGAGAAUAUGACCAAUCAACUCUUGCUUCUUUCUGACUUCCUCCAUCUCUUAUUUUGUUUUGAUGAUCACCUGCAUGUUUUCCUCUUCGUUGCUUCCUCGAGAUGUUGACUGCAUCUCAUAACCCAGGUUCACCUGUCUUUUAGCCAGUAGUUGAGCCUCAAGAACUUUAGCAGUUGGUGACUUUGACGAUUGCAUCUAAUCUACCAUUAUGCGGGCAUGUUCAUGUGGCAUUACUCUAGGAGGUUACCUUGGAAAUUACCUCAAAACUUGAUCUUGGGAUUAUCCCUUCUGCCAUCAUAAUCUCAAUUGUAGUCUUGAACAUUACUACAUAUUGACAUACUACUAACCCCUCAUCACUGGUCGGCCUAUGGCCACGUGUCACUGAUGAGGUUCAUCACCAACAGGCUAAUGUUUGGUCGAUCAGUGCGGGUCAUCCAUGAUUGUUAACACAAACAGGUUAAAAUUUGGUCGAUCAGUGAUGUUGUCCUCCUCAGCCGUUGGGAGGUUGAAAGUUUAUCACAGACUGAUGUCAAAAUUUGCUCGUCACUGCUAUUACUUAGAUAUCAAUAGAUUCAGAAAAGUGUAACUUAUUUCCCUGAGCAGUGCAACUUGCACUUUCCUAGAAAAGUGCAAGUGGAUGAAAAAGUGCAAGUUGCAUUUUUGUCAGUAUACUAAAUUUAUAGUUUUCUGAAUUAAUCGGGACUUCAGAUAAAAUUCUCCAUACAGUUGAUCCCAUAAGUGUUGCCCUGAUUAUAUAAGUUACGCUUAAUGAUGUGAUAAAUUAAAUUUGAAUCCAUGAAAAUUUUCUUUCUCAUUCAUAAUAAUAUUUGUUCUCCACGAGCUAUUUUUUUAUUCCAAAAAUUAUUUGAACUAUAUUGUAUAGACUAAUGAAAUUGUGAUUCUAUGUUUUAGAGUCUACUUCCACCUAGACAAUACUUCCUUUUCUUUUUUGAUAUGAAAGAUCCGGAGAAGCUGAUGUAAUUCUAAACAUCAAGCUAAUUAAGGAUGAGAGUGGGAUUACUUUAACGCAAUCUCACUAUGUUGAGAAGGUCUGGAGUUGGUUUGAUAGAUAGCAAGACUUCUCCAACACCUUAUGAUCCUAGUGUGACACUUCAAAAGAACAUGAAAGAAACAAGUGAUCAACUAAGAUACUCUCAAAUUAUCGAUUCACUCAGGUUUUUAGCUAGCGCAACAAGGCCAAAUAUUGUGAUCUCUCGCGACACAAAUUAGCAUUCACCUUAAGCUCCUGAAAUAUAAUUUCCCAAAAAAGCAAUCGAAUUGUUUGUCUGUUGUCUUGAUGAUGAUUUGCCGAGUGGUUUUAUAGUGGUGAGGAGACUUAUCUUCUUAAUUAAUCGAUGAGGAAAAACUUUUGCCUCUGUUUGGGAUAUUACUGUAAUUGCUAAUGGAGCUCGAGCUCCAUGGAGCCCUUAAUUUGAAAUUUUCAAAACUCAAAUUUUUAGAUUUAAAAAAAUCUUAAAAUUUCACUCUAAAAAUAUCCAAAAAAAUUAUGUCAGCUACACAAAAAUGACAAAAUCAAGUAUUUCUAACACAUGUACCACUAGAAAAGUAUAUGAUUUUGUAUUUUGUAUAGCUCACACAGCUAUUCCAUGAUGAAAUUUCAUACAGUCUAGUAUUUACCUAUAAGUACUUGUGUAUUUGUUUUCAUGUUUUCUUUGAAACUUAGGAAGUUGAUAUUGGAAAAUUUCAGGCUCCAUGGAGCCCGAGCAAAAAAAUCCACUCUCCUCAUACAUUACAUAUAUAUAUAAAGCGGGGAAUAGUUAUAUCGAAUCUACAUCCCUCUAUUUUUUGCGGGUAGAUCUGAUCACCAUCCUGAUGUGCUUUGGAAAUCAUGAAAUUUUGUGAAGGCGAUGUCACGAAGCAAAAUACAACAAAGGUCCUGGAAAAACGUUUUAUAUAAAAUGAUAAGAUCACACGUUUAUAACUACUUCGUUGUAAAACUCCCCUAUUGGAUAAGUACACAACAAAAAUUUAGAAGAAAUCCCAUCCAGAUAACCACCUUUUUGAAUACAGUACUUGUAUUACACUUUGAUUGAAGACAGACAAGUCACACGGCAGAUUGACCAAUUUCAAUUUGUCUUAAAUAUGCACCCAUAAAUCACAGGGAAAUACGAUCAAGUCUAGCUUUUAUAAUAAAACGAAGAAAAAAUAGAGUAUUCGAACAAUCGAACUUAAGGGAACAUUUAAAAACAUUUCCUGAUUCACUUCAGAACCCAACCCCUAAUUCUAGAGCCUCAGGGUCAGAUCAAUCCCGUCGGCAGUCUCUUCCUGAUCCACUUCACACACGCCUUGCUGCUGUCCACGGUGACCACCAUCUCCAGUCCUGCGGUAGCCGACGACCACACGCGCCGACACAGCAGAUGACGGUUGAGUUGGAGCAAGGCCGAUACCAGUCUGCCAUUGCCACUGCAAUGAAGGAGGCACGAAGGGGGCCGUGGGGUAGUAGUGGGCGGCAAGCAGGUUCUCAUGGAGGUAAGCUCUGCCCAAGGCGGUGAUGUCCGACGACG
RNAcentral lists this long non-coding RNA (5121 nucleotides) under Triticum aestivum (bread wheat). RNAcentral's name for it is "long non-coding RNA (TAES_LNC007771)". The record is from RNAcentral. Lineage: Eukaryota; Viridiplantae; Streptophyta; Magnoliopsida; Poales; Poaceae.